RNAcentral lists this non-coding RNA (39 nucleotides) under Plasmodium falciparum 3D7. Lineage: Eukaryota; Apicomplexa; Aconoidasida; Haemosporida; Plasmodiidae. The record is from RNAcentral.
CCUCGUCUUCUUCUUCGUCGGAUUCAUCAGAGUGGUGGU